UAGGGAAUCUUCCGCAAUGGACGCAAGUCUGACGGAGCAACGCCGCGUGAGUGAAGAAGGAUUUCGGUUCGUAAAACUCUGUUGUUAGAGAAGAACAGCGCAUAGAGUAACAGUUAUGCGUGUGACGGUAUCUAACCAGAAAGCCACGGCUAACUACGUGCCAGCAGCCGCGGCAAUACGUAGGUCCCGAGCGUUGUCCGGAUUUAUUGGGCGUAAAGCGAGCGCAGGCGGUUAGAUAAGUCUGAAGUUAAAGGCAGUGGCUCAACCAUUGUAGGCUUUGGAACCUGUUUAACUUGAGUGCAGAAGGGGAGAGUGGAUUUCCAUGUGUAGCGGUGAAAUGCGUAGAUAUAUGGAGGAACACCGGUGGCGAAAGCGGCUCUCUGGUCUGUAACUGACGCUGAGGCUCGAAAGCGUGGGGAGCGAACAGG
This 428-nucleotide ribosomal RNA is filed under the name Bacteroidota bacterium. RNAcentral's name for it is "Bacteroidetes bacterium partial 16S ribosomal RNA". It matches the Rfam family "Bacterial small subunit ribosomal RNA", at positions 355 to 776 of the family's 1533-position model. The record is from RNAcentral. Lineage: Bacteria; Pseudomonadati; Bacteroidota.